RNAcentral lists this ribosomal RNA (443 nucleotides) under uncultured bacterium. RNAcentral describes it as "bacterial SSU rRNA". It matches the Rfam family "Bacterial small subunit ribosomal RNA", at positions 354 to 796 of the family's 1533-position model. The record is from RNAcentral.
GUGGGGAAUCUUGCGCAAUGGCCGAAAGGCUGACGCAGCGACGCCGCGUGUGGGAGGACGCCCUUCGGGGUGUAAACCACUGUUGCCCGGGACGAACAUCCUUUUUCGAAAGGACUGACGGUACCGGGUGAGGAAGCACCGGCUAACUCCGUGCCAGCAGCCGCGGUAAUACGGAGGGUGCGAGCGUUGUCCGGAAUCACUGGGCGUAAAGGGCGCGUAGGUGGCCCGUGGAAGUCUGCGGUGAAAGCCCGGCGCUCAACGCCGGGUCGGCCGUGGAUACUCUCGGGCUUGAGCUCACUAGAGGCAGAUGGAAUUCCGGGUGUAGCGGUGGAAUGCGUAGAGAUCCGGAAGAACACCGGUGGCGAAGGCGGUCUGCUGGGGUGAGGCUGACACUGAUGCGCGACAGCGUGGGGAGCAAACAGGAUUAGAUACCCUGGUAGUCC